GAUGAAGAACGCAGCGAAAUGCGAUAAGUAAUGUGAAUUGCAGAAUUCAGUGAAUCAUCGAAUCUUUGAACGCACAUUGCGCCCGCCAGUAUUCUGGCGGGCAUGCCUGUCUGAGCGUCAUUUCAACCCUCAUGCCCCUAGGGCGUGGUGUUGGGGAUCGGCCAAAGCCCGCGAGGGACGGCCGGCCCCUAAAUCUAGUGGCGGACCCGUCGUGGCCUCCUCUGCGAAGUAGUGAUAUUCCGCAUCCGAGAGCGAUGAGCCCCUGCCGUUAAACCCCCAACUUUCCAAGGUUGACCUCAGAUCAGGUAGGAAUACCCGCUGAACUUAAGCAUAUCAAUAAGCGGAGGA
This 348-nucleotide unclassified non-coding RNA is filed under the name soil metagenome. RNAcentral describes it as "partial contains 5.8S ribosomal RNA, internal transcribed spacer 2, and large subunit ribosomal RNA". The stretch from base 1 to 120 matches the Rfam family "5.8S ribosomal RNA", at positions 35 to 154 of the family's 154-position model. The record is from RNAcentral.